This 75-nucleotide transfer RNA is filed under the name Maritalea porphyrae. RNAcentral's name for it is "tRNA-Thr". It matches the Rfam family "tRNA". Rfam says of the family: Transfer RNA (tRNA) molecules are approximately 80 nucleotides in length. Lineage: Bacteria; Pseudomonadati; Pseudomonadota; Alphaproteobacteria; Hyphomicrobiales; Devosiaceae. The record is from RNAcentral.
GCCGCUGUAGCUCAGGGGUAGAGCAGGUCUUUCGUAAAGACAAGGUCGGGAGUUCAAAUCUCUCCAGCGGCACCA